RNAcentral lists this ribosomal RNA (253 nucleotides) under uncultured bacterium. RNAcentral describes it as "partial 16S ribosomal RNA". It matches the Rfam family "Bacterial small subunit ribosomal RNA", at positions 524 to 776 of the family's 1533-position model. The record is from RNAcentral.
UACGUAGGGUGUAAGCGUUGUCCGGAAUUAUUGGGCGUAAAGAGCUCGUAGGCGGUCUGUCGCGUCGGCUGUGAAGACUCGGGGCUCAACCCCGAGCCUGCAGUCGAUACGGGCAGACUAGAGUCUGGCAGGGGAGACUGGAAUUCCUGGUGUAGCGGUGAAAUGCGCAGAUAUCAGGAGGAACACCGGUGGCGAAGGCGGGUCUCUGGGCCGGAACUGACGCUGAGGAGCGAAAGCGUGGGGAGCGAACAGG